RNAcentral lists this microRNA precursor (97 nucleotides) under Ictidomys tridecemlineatus (thirteen-lined ground squirrel). Its description in RNAcentral is "Spermophilus tridecemlineatus (thirteen-lined ground squirrel) mir-544 microRNA precursor family". It matches the Rfam family "mir-544 microRNA precursor family". Lineage: Eukaryota; Metazoa; Chordata; Mammalia; Rodentia; Sciuridae. The record is from Rfam by way of RNAcentral.
AUCACCUAGGGAUCUUGUUAAAAUGCAGAUUUGGAUUCCGUUGUUCUGGGCGGGUCUCAAGAUUCUUGCUUUUUAACAAGCUCCCAGGUGAUGUGGA